CCAACACUUGACAUGUUCGUCGCGACUCUAAGAGAUUAGGGUUUUCGGUUCGGCCGGACGAAACACAGGUGCUGCAUGGCUGUCGUCAGCUCGUGUCGUGAGAUGUUGGGUUAAGUCCCGCAACGAGCGCAACCCUCACUUUUAGUUGCCAUCAUUUAGUUGGGCACUCUGAAAGAACUGCCAGUGAUAAGCUGGAGGAAGGUGGGGAUGACGUCAAGUCCUCAUGGCCCUUAUGUGUUGGGCUACACACGUGCUACAAUGGUAUUUACAAUAGGAAGCAAGAUGGCAACGUCAAGCAAAUCCUAAAAAAAUACCUCAGUUCGGAUUGUACUCUGCAACUCGAGUACAUGAAGCUGGAAUUACUAGUAAUCGCGGAUCAGCGCGCCGCGGUGAAUGCGUUCCCGGGUCUUGUACACACCGCCCGUCACACCAUGGGAGUUGGUUCUACCUUAAGGCAAGGUUUAAAACCCUUGACUACGGUAUAGUCAGCGACUGGGGUGAAGUCGUAACAAGGUA
RNAcentral lists this ribosomal RNA (516 nucleotides) under uncultured marine bacterium. RNAcentral describes it as "bacterial SSU rRNA". It matches the Rfam family "Bacterial small subunit ribosomal RNA", at positions 974 to 1498 of the family's 1533-position model. The record is from RNAcentral.